Long non-coding RNA from Spinacia oleracea (spinach), 566 nucleotides. RefSeq lists it as uncharacterized. The transcript is spliced from 2 exons. NCBI's taxonomy places the organism in Eukaryota, Viridiplantae, Streptophyta, Magnoliopsida, Caryophyllales, Amaranthaceae. The record is from RefSeq and is a predicted model, not a curated record.
UAGUUUCUAUAAAUGAUUGUAAAAUAAGAUUGCAAUUUUCAUAGUUCAUAUCAUACACUUAUAAUCAUAAAGAAUACAUUUAUCUACAGUUUUCUUCGUUAAAUAAUUUGUUUAACUACUUAAAUUACCAUCAGAGUUUAAGCAAAUGGCGAGAAUUUCCACCACAUUCUUCAUCAUUAGCGUCAUAUUGGUAGUUUUUCUAACCACAUGUAGUCUAACAUUGGCCCAAUACAUUGGAGACAAUACUGGGAUUUUAUGUACGGCGGUUGGUGGAACUUGUGGAAUCCCAGGAGUUUAUGAUUGUUGUGACAGAAUGAUCUGCUUCUUGUUGAAUCCUGAAAACCCUUAUGCCGGUGGAGUUUGUAGGUAUUAAUCUCAUCGAGGGCAUGCCAUUUGUUCUGGAUUACGAGAUUACCAAGCUUCUCCUAGCACUUCUUAAUUUCACAAAUAACGUCGAAUUUGCAACUUUUUGAUAAAGAUCGAGUAUAUGUAGUCUGAAUGUUUGAUGUAUGCCUAAGAUUUAAUAUAAAGUUAGUAUUUGGGAAUUGGGAUCCCUUCGAGGUUGA